This 9158-nucleotide long non-coding RNA is filed under the name Panax ginseng (ginseng). RNAcentral's name for it is "long non-coding RNA (PGIN_LNC018154)". Lineage: Eukaryota; Viridiplantae; Streptophyta; Magnoliopsida; Apiales; Araliaceae. The record is from RNAcentral.
CCCAGGCCUCUGCCAGCUCUGCCAAGGGUAGUGGAUAUGGAUUUGCUGACAAGGUUCUUCUCUAUCUGAUGUGCUCAAAGUUGUACAUUUUUCACUGAGUAUGCAGAAUGGAUAUACCAUGUCAUGUUAGCUCAAUCAGUGUAGCUCAUAUCUGAAAACAACAGCUCUUCAUUAUUUAGAAGCUAAGCUUGAAUAAUUGAGUAAGACAUACUUGUCAAAAAAAAAGUUGUCAGGCAAACUAAAAAUGUGUUGUAACAUGCAAGUAUUAUAUUAUUAGCGAGAUUUUUAUUUAAGAGACCUGACUUUAUAUAGUCAAAGCUGUUACCAGGAAAUUGCAAUGCUAAAUAUCAAAUGUCUGAAGUAAUUUAUAGUCGCUUGAGCAACUGCCUUCCCAAUAUAGUUAUUUUUUAAAUUAAUAUUUAACUCUCGUUAGACAUUACAAGGGCAAUGAAAAAUAUAAAAUACUUUUAGGAUAAUGCUGUUGAGUCUUCAACAUAUUGCAUACAAUUUCCCUAGACCUCUAGAUCUGGAAAACAAGUCAGAAAUUAUAAACUUAUAAUGAUUCCACAGAUUCGGUUUAUAAGUUUAAGAAUUUAUUGAUGGUUUCUCCCACUUUCUAAGCUGGUAGUAGGUGGGUAGAAGAGGUCUCUACAGUAGGCUCUUUCUAUUUUUCUUUAAAACUUAUUUCGGUCUUCUUCUUUUACAUGUGUUGCUUUACUUGAUAUUUUUCGCUCCAUCUUGUCUCGUAAACCCAAAUGGGGACAAGGAAACCCCAAAUUAUAUACUGGACUUCUACUUAUGAUUUUAUCUACUAUUAUGUGAAAUGUGAGACUGUAGAAAAGCCUUAAUCCUUCUUUUCUAUCCACAAGGAAAACCAAAUGUAUCCUUUCAGUACAAUUUAAUCAUCUUUGCCUGAAUCACUAAUUUUACUGGAAAGUUAAACUACAGACAUUAGAUUUAUAAUUUUAUAAUUAUUUGAUAAUCAUUUGCUUUCUUUAAACCGAAUAUUAGUCGUGUGUUCAUCAGCUCAUGAGCACAUGUGCGCACGUGACUAGUUUGUCUGAUACCAAAUAGUUGAAGUCUAUGAUAAAAUUUCUUGACCUGUCAGCUUGUUAGAAACCAUAUUUCCAGUUAAAGGGAGAUGUUUUUCCCCCCAUCUAUGGCGUGCCACUGUCUUAUCUUCUUGUGCUCAGAAACAUUUUCUAGGAUAUAUACUGGCAUUAAGCAUUGGUAUAUAUAUAUUUUGGCCACCAACCCCAAUCCCUCGAUGCUAUAUUUGGGACUUGGGCAAGUCACAUGUAUACACUUAUUUCAGUCAUAUUUGUGACAAUUUAAUUAUCAGAUUGCAGAUGGAAUGACUUUAGAAGUACGAACUGUGAAUCUUCUACUUGAAACUCACGGUGGUGCUCGACACCAGGGAGGAGCAACUUGGUAUUUUUUUCAUUGACCCAGAAAUUCAUAUCUUUGUUACUUAUUUGUUGUCUUUUGUUUAUGGUAAAGCAAUGAUUCUUUGCAUAACUUAGUGGCUACAUUCUAUGAAGGAAAACUGUAAUGAUGAUGAUAUUUAACAGAACCUUGCGUGAUGAAGAGAGCAUCAAACACUAGGCUUUCUCCUUCAAUGUUUUCAUCUAACUUUUCUUUCUUUCUCUAAAUAAAACAACUGUACUAAUUGCUAUAGUAAGUCUCUGGUCAAAGUCAUAAAAUACAGUACAUUCAAUCAAGUUGUUACGAAGAUUAUUUGAAGACCCUAAUUUAGAUAAGCAAAGGGAUUGUAUUACUGUUGAAUCAACACAGACCAAAAUAUACUCGAGCAAACCUGCUUAAUAGUUUCCUCUAUCCCGUGUCCUUUGACCUCUAGGGUGGUCAAGUAAAAAUGUACUUUAGAUAUUAAAUUGUCUUGUAAUUGUUCGAGAUGAUUUUUCAUUUUUGCAUCACUGUUAGCUGGAGAUAUAUCUGUGCUAGAGUCAUUUAGUCUUGUCCAUUUACGUAUUAUCUUCCCUUCCAAUGUAUUGAUAUACAACAUUUAAUAGGAACUGAUGCUUUUUAUGUUAGGUCUUUAAGGUUGGACCUUGCUUCUUGUGAUUUUAUGCAAAAAGCAAUGCUUUACCCUGGAAAAUUUCUGUAUAAGGCUAAGUUUGUUAUUUGAGUAUCAUUACCUGGUUUUUAUGGCAAUGGCUUAUUGAUUUCCGUGCACGUCUUCAUUCCCCGGCCCCAUUCCCCACUCACAGGGCAUCACCUAUGGCAUCAAUUACUAUGUGCAACCUUUUGCUUCAUACCACAAACGAAAGUUGGCAGGUUAUCUUCUAACUCGCUUCUACUGUUUCCUUAAGUUUAUCAUUGAAUAAUAAACAAUUGUCUGUAACAGGCUGUAAAUCUUAAGGACGCGAGGGACUUUUCUGCUGACAAGAAGUUCAUUUAUGUGUUCAAAGUAAUUACCCCAUCUUCUUCAUUUUUAAAAAAGAACAUUUAUGUGUUUAAAGUGAUCAUGUCAGCUUGUCCUGUUAUUCUGUGUUCUUUUACUAUAUAAUUGUGGUGGUUUUAAACUAUAUUCCUUUAGAUUCUUGCUAUUUGCUACAUCUUAAAAUAUUUGACUGUAUACUCCAUUAAUUGUGAUGCUUUAUUGCUACAUCGAUAUCAUAUCAUUUUACAAUGUGUUUUUUGGUCAUCAGAAACUUGAGUGGGAAUUUUUAUCCAUCGACCUCCUGCCUCAUCCUGAUAUGUUUAUGGAUGCUCAUUUUGCAAGCUCUCAAGAGGGAUCUAACAGGAAAGAUGAUGAUGGCGCAAAGCGGGUGUUCUUUGGCGGGGAGAGAUUCAUUGAAGGAGUAUCAGGAGAGGCUUAUGUAAUGCAAAUUAACGGUUUGAGUUGUUUCUCUGUGAAUUUUUGCAUUUAACUAGAGAGUAAGGAUAUGCAAGGGAACAGUGUUUGAUAGUUUGUAAUAACUCAUCCUUUUUAAUAAUGAUCAGAUUACGAUUCAGAGAACAGAACUGAAUAUUCCAUUGGGGCUUGAGGUUCAGUUGCAUAUCACCGAAGCCGUUUGCCCUGCUUUAAGUGAACCAGGCAAGUUAAUGGGUCUUUGUCACUCUUGUUUUACAUUAGCAGUAACCCUUGUUAAGUUUUUUGAAUGAUACCAUGAGCAGGAUUGCGUGCUCUCCUCCGAUUCUUGACUGGAUUAUAUGUCUGCUUAAAUAGAGGAGAUGUCAACCCAAAUGUUCAACAGGUUCAAUUUGUCCCGUUGACUAAAUUUACUAAUAAAAAGACGUAUUAAUGGCUCUAUACAUAUACCAACCAAGUCUCUCUCUCCUGACAGCUUUCUUCCGAAGCUGCAGGACGUUCUCUUGUCUGCCUUGUUGUGGACCACAUAUUUCUCCGCAUUAAGGAUGCUGGUUAGUGUUUCCUCCUUGAAACAAGCCAAAUUUCUUUGGAGUUUGGUUUUUAUUGAGGCUCUUCAUUGAUUUCCUUUUUGUAAGAGCAGUGUCUAUUACAUAUAAUUGUUGUAUAUAUGUUGGUGGUGCAUAUAGUUUUUUUUUCUGGCUAUAUGUUUUACUCAGAUUGAAAAUAUUGCUAAUAAUUACAGUUUUACUUGCAGAGUUCCAGCUUGAACUUUUAAUGCAGUCACUCUCUUUUUCUCGGGUAUAUUUCUAGAGCAAUUUAAAGUCUAUGCAUGGUUUCUGAUGUGUUUCAAUGUGUUCUCAUGCAUAGCUAGAAUCUAGCAUUACAAGGUUAUACUUUUUGUACAGGCAAGCGUUUCUGAUGGAGAAAAUGCCAAAUACUUGACUCAGGUUAUGAUAGGUGGAUUGUUUCUAAGGUUUGUUGCUUUUACAGUUUCUUAUAUAUUUGUCCAAAGUUAAUUAUACGUCUCCUUGACAUUCUUGUGCUCAUAGUUGUUAGAAUCUUACGAUACCGACCUCUCAAAGGGUAAUAAUUUUUUAAAUUGGACCCCUAAAAUCUGGUCAUGUAUCAUCUUGGGCUUUUUUAUAUAAUUAUCGACUUUAGGAUUUUAAUAAUUCUUGUUAAGGAGACUUGAGUAUAUUGGCGACCAAGUUAUGUAGUAUAUUUCAUUAUUCGUCUGGUAUUAAAUGUAACACCCCAGUCCCACAUCGAAAGAUAGGGGAAAAAUUUGUCUGCAUAUAAGGAAAUAAGUUACUACCAAUAGUACCUUGAAGUUAUAAUCUUUUGGGAGCCUGUGGUGGGCUAAGAUGACCCAAGAAGAUAUUAUUGGGUCAGUAGUUUGAGGCCUUAUUUUGAUGGAUUUGAUUCGAUUCAGACUUGGGAUUUGACCCGAGAUUUGUUCCGGACUCGGGAUUUGACCCGGGUUGUUUCAUAUAGUAUCAAAGCCGACUCUCGAAAGCUCGGGUCGGGUCAUCCGAUCGGGUUGCCGGAGGUGAGGACACGAAGGCUGGUGGUAUUAUUCCACAAUGAAGAGAUGGAGGUCCGGAAGUGGGGACACGAAGCCAGCCGGUAUUAUCCCACAAUGGCUAGAGAGACAAAGAUCUUUGGGCCCGUGUGUGUGAUCGGUUCUGACAGGGACGUCAGAAAUUUAAGUGGGGGAGUUUGUAACACCCCAGUCCCACAUCGAAAGAUAGGAGAAAAAUUUGUUUGCAUAUAAGGAAAUAAAUUACUACCAAUAGUACCUUCAAGUCAUAACCUUUUGGGAGCCUGUGGUGGGCUAAGAUGACCCAAGAAGAUACUAUUGGGCCAGUAGUUUGAGGCCUUAUUUUGAUGGAUUUGAUUCGAUUCGGACUUGAGAUUUGACCCGAGAUUUGUUCCGGACUCGGGAUUUGACCCGGGUUGUUUCAUUAAACAUAAAUGCCACACCGACCAAAAGGUGAUAUUCGUUGCUUGAAGGAAUUUUCAUUUUCAUUUUAUGUAUAUCUCUGUAAGUCUCUUUGUAUUUUUCGCCGGUUUUAUAACCGUCUGCGCAAUGCUUUUGGUGCUACAUAUAGUUGGGAAAUUCUUUCUUCUUUUAGUUAAUUGGGCACACGUCCUUGUAUGACUGGGUGCAGGGAUACAUUUUCACACCCUCCAUGCACCUUAGUGCAACCGCCAAUGCAUGAUGCUACAGAUGAUUUUCUGCAUAUUCCGGACUUCGGUAUUAAUUUCCUCGCUCAUUCAGAAAGUUAGAUUCAUUUAUUUGGAGCUAUUAAUAUGGUGGGAGUAGUGUUAUCAUUUUUGAGAAUUGAUUAGUUCAUUUGUUGUAUGACCAGGGAAAAAUUUCUGUCCUCCAAUAUAUCCACUAGGGGACCAUUUUUGGAAAUUAAAUGAGGGUGUUCCUUUAAUAAAUCUCCAUUCGCUUCAGCUCAAGCCUUCCCCAGCUCCACCAUCAUUUGCUUCACAAACAGUCAUUGAAUGUCAGCCUCUUAUGGUAUACAUCUUGUAUUUCAUUAUAUUCCACAAAAAUUCAUUUGUUUGACUGAUUACUUUUAAAAUCUUCUAUCAUUCUUUUGUCAGAUUCAUCUUCAGGAAGAAUCCUGUCUGAGGAUUUGCUCCUUCUUAACUGAUGGAAUUGUAGUCAAACCUGGUGCUGUUUUACCAGAUUUUUCAGUAAACUCCCUCACAUUCAAUGUUAAAGGAUUAGAUAUCACUGUACCUCUGGAGACGAGAAGACCUAACUAUCCUACAGACAGUGUAAACACUAGCUAUCAAAGCUCCUUUGCUGGAGCAAGGCUUCAUAUUGAGGAAUUAUUCUUUUCAGAGUCGCCUUCUCUAAAGCUUGGGCUACUGAACCUUGAGAAGGAUCCUGCAUGCUUUUGUCUUUGGGAGGACCAGCCGGUUGAUGCCAGCCAGAAAAAAUGGACAACCGGAGCUUCUCUUCUUAGUCUGUCUCUGGAAUCCUGUAAUGACUCAGCUGGAGUUCAAUCUUCUUUUACAAGUUCUUCUAAUUUGUGGAGAUGUGUCGAGUUGAAAGGUGCUUGUGUUGAGGUAGCAAUGGCGACUGCAGAUGGGAGCCCAUUAACAAACAUUCCUCCUCCCGGAGGGAUUGUUAGAGUAGGAGUUGCAUGUCAACAGUAUUUGUCCAACACUUCGGUUGAGCAGUUAUUUUUUGUUUUGGAUCUCUAUACCUACUUGGGUAGUGUCAGUGAAAGGAUAAUAAUAGUUGGAAAAAAUAAUCGAAUAAAGGAAUCAAGAAACGAGUCGUUUGGUGGAAAUCUAAUUGAAAAGGCUCCUGGGGAUAGUGCUGUAAGCUUAGUGGUGAAGGACCUCCAGCUAAGAUUUCUGGAAUCUUCUUCCAAAGAUACUCUAAGAAUGCCUCUGGUUCAGUUUGUGGGAGAAAAUCUGUUCAUUAAAGUAAGUCAUAGAACUUUGGGCGGUGCUAUAGCUAUUUCUACUAGUGUAAGUUGGAAUAGAGUUAAGGUGGAUUGUGCAGACACUGAGAGAAACAUGGCAUAUGAGAACGGUAUGGUACCGCCUUCUAUUGAAGAUGGUCAUGUGGCUGAAAAUGGAUACCCUCAACUGAGGGCUGUUUUUUGGGUGCAAAACAGUUGUAAGAGUCAGUCAAAUAGCUAUGCCGUCUCAGUUCCAUUUUUGGAUAUAAGUAUGGUGCAUGUGAUCCCAUACAAUGCAGAGGAUAUGGAGUGUCAUAGUUUAACUGUGUCAGCUUGUAUUGCUGGUGUUCGGCUUGGGGGAGGAAUGAAUUAUGCUGAGGCUCUGCUACACCGAUUUGGAAUUCUUGGGCCAGAUGGUGGUCCAGGAGAGGGGCUUUCUAAAGGGAUAGAGCAUUUAUCUGCUGGGCCUUUUUCAAAACUUUUGAAAGCUUCACCUCUGAUAGUGGACGAGCUCAAAGAAAAUAAUAGUAAGUUUUUUGUUUUGUUUUUUAUCUUGUUUGAUAUGCUUCCAACCCUCUCAUAUGGUAUCUUUUCUAUUGCCACUUUAAUUAACUUAUGUUCAUCUUUUUGUUUUUCAUCCCGCCAUCCUCUCUUUAGAUGGAAGUUCAGGAGAUGGGAAAAACAGUAGUAUGCUGCACUUGGGUACGCCAGAUGAUGUGGAUAUUUCAAUAGAAUUUAAAAAUUGGCUAUUUGCUCUCGAAGGUGCAGAGGAAAUGGCAGAAAGGUGGUGGUUCAGUGAUUCUGAAGAUUCUCAUAGAGCAGAGAGGUGCUGGCACACAACUUUCGAGAGUUUGCAAGUGAAGGCGAAAAGCAGCCAGAAGCAUGUGUUGAAUAGCAAAGGAACAUCACAUCGAAGACAAAAGUAUCCUAUCGAAUUGAUUACAGUGAGAACUUAGUUCCUUACUUUUCGUAGGGUGUUGAAUAAUGAAAUGUAGGCCUUGGUAUGAGGUGUUACUACUACAAAUUAAAUGCAUAUUAUUUUUAUAACGGUACGAUAAAACAUUGUCUGAAAAUUCUUUCCAUGGAAUAUUUGUCCUACGUAAUUAAGACUCCAUCUAUAUAAUUCUGUGCCACUUUUCUUUUGAUCAUUUGACAAGAAACUAUGGACUAUGAAAUAUUAUCUCAACUUACUAGAUGACGUUAGAGACCUUAUUUGGGCCCAUCCUCAUGAGAUAUUAUUCUUUUGGGUACUUGGAUUUGUUAGAAACCUUUUGUGGGUUUUUCCUGGCCUCAUGAUAUAUUCUUUUCGGUACUUGAUUGGUUAAAUCUCUAUGAGAGUUUCAUGUUUGCUUGAGUCGGGGUUGAAUAUUUACUUCUAAAGCCUGUAUCACGUUGCUGCUUCAGACCUUACACCUGGUUUAGGUUUACUGUGAAAUAAUCAUCGUUAUCAAUUUUUAUUUUUUUAUCAUCUCCAUUCUUAGUUAAUACAGCUUCGGUACAUGCAUCAUUGUGAGAAAUUGCUUUGUAGGUUGCUGUGGAAGACUUGAAGACUUUAAAGCCAAAGCCCCAGCCCCGGAAAAACAUCCUGCAAAAUGGUGAACUUUCAAAAGGGUUCAAACAAAAUGCAGAGACACAUGGUGGGAUUAAUUUUGAAGUCGAUACGGUGAUAUCUGAAGACGAUGUCGAUAGUGCAAUGGCCAAGUGGGUAGUGGAAACUGUGAAAUUCUCUGUGAAACAGCCGGUAACGAGAUUCAACAUGUUAUUUAGCUACAUUAAUACUUUCUUUUAUCCUAAAUAGCUAACAUUACAAAUUUAUUAUCUUGUAGUUUGAUGCGGUUGUAACAAAGGAUGAGCUGCAAUACCUAGCUCUUCUUUGCAAGUCUGAAGUUGACUCAAUGGGCCGAAUAACUGCUGGAGUCCUACGGGUACUUAAGCUGGAAGGUUCUGUUGGCCAGGCAGCAAUUGAGCAACUAAGCAACCUUGGUAUGUUCUAAAUAUAAUCAGAUUGAAAUUACAGUUUAUGUUUUUUUAGUGCAAGGCUGGAAUUAUCACAUGUUAAACAUAAAUGGGGGUGGAAAGAUGGGGGUUCAAUGCCGUGGACUACAAACUCUAGAUUGACUAGGAACAACUAUUGUCAGAACUAAUAUACUAGAAAUUUAUUGAUAUGAAGGGUCAGGAUCAUAAGUUUCUGAAAAAAGAUAUAUUCAGCAUUGUUCACUAGUUUUUUAAGAAAUGAAGUCUGUCAUAUUUAUACACUUGUGACUUUUCUUUUAGGUUGAGGUCUAACAUUUAGCUACAACAAAGUAAAAAAAUGUCUUGAUAGGAUUGUUUUUAAAGAUUUACAUUCAGUAUACUCGCCGUAACUCAACUAUGCCUUUUAUCUUAAAUUGGUUGGGGUGGGCUGAAAAUGAAUCACAUGUAAACAUAAAUCAAAAAGGCAAGAGGAAAGGAAAAGCAUAAAACAACAACCUAAUAAAAGGAUAAAAUGAAAUAAAUUAAACUAAAAGAACAGGAGUAAUGGUUAACAAGACCUAAUUCCGACCCCCUCUAAUUUUAUUUUUCUUUAUUAUUUUUUAUGUAUAUGGAUCACUCUAUACUUCAAAUAGCCCGACUCCAGAAUUUAUGAAAUUGAUGACUUGCAGGAAGUGAGGGGUUUGACAAGAUUUUCAGCCCGGAAAAGCUUAGCAGGGGUAGUAUUACCAGUAGCACUGCGACGUGGCCAUCUUCGAGUGUGACUAGUGAAAGCCGUCAUCCAAGCUUUGAAUCAACAGUUACUUCACUUGAGGUGGCGGUUUUGGAUUCCCAGAUCAUUUGUGCUGCUCUUACUGCUGAAUCAGGUGAGCACCUAGACCAUAUGAAACAACUCAGUCAUAAACUUGAGAGCAUGCAGAGAU